RNAcentral lists this ribosomal RNA (655 nucleotides) under Cardinium endosymbiont of Bemisia tabaci. RNAcentral's name for it is "partial 23S ribosomal RNA". It matches the Rfam family "Bacterial small subunit ribosomal RNA", at positions 10 to 660 of the family's 1533-position model. The record is from RNAcentral. Lineage: Bacteria; Pseudomonadati; Bacteroidota; Cytophagia; Cytophagales; Amoebophilaceae.
AGUUUGAUCCUGGCUCAGGAUGAACGCUAGCGGCAGGCCUCAUACAUGCAAGUCGAGGGGCAGCGGGACACUUCGGUGUUGCCGGCGACCGGCGGACGGGUGCGUAAUGCGCAUGCAAUCUACUUUACACUGGGGAAUAGCCUCCGGAAACGGGAAUUAAUACCCCAUAUAAUCUUAUUAGCGCAUGUUAAAAAGAUGAAAGCUCCGGCGGUGUUAAAAAGAGCGUGCGUCCUAUUAGCUAGUUGGUGAGGUAAUGGCUCACCAAGGCUACGAUGGGUAGGGGUUCUUAGUGGAAGGUCCCCCACACUGGCACUGAGAUACGGGCCAGACUCCUACGGGAGGCAGCAGUAGGGAAUAUUGGUCAAUGGGCGCAAGCCUGAACCAGCCAUGCCGCGUGCAGGAUGAAGGCUCUCUGAGUUGUAAACUGCUUUUGUACAGGAGCAAAAAAAUCCCUGCGGGGGUUCUUGAGAGUACUGUAAGAAUAAGCACCGGCUAAUUCCGUGCCAGCAGCCGCGGUAAUACGGGAGGUGCAAGCGUUAUCCGGUUUUAUUGGGUUUAAAGGGUGCGUAGGCGGCUUAUUAAGUCAGUUGUGAAAUCCUAGUGCUUAACGCUAGAACUGCGAUGAUACUAUUAGGCUUGAGUUAAGAAGAGGUAA